GAAAUGCGAUAAGUAAUGUGAAUUGCAGAAUUCCGUGAAUCAUCGAAUCUUUGAACGCACAUUGCGCCCUCUGGUAUUCCGGGGGCAUGCCUGUCCGAGCGUCAUUGCGAACCCCUCAAGCACGGCUUGUGUGAUGGGCCCUCCCGCGUCUUGGUCGUCAAGACGGGCCCGAAAUGCAGUGGCGGCUUCGCGGUUAUCCUAUCAGCCAGAGCGUAUGGGGACUCUCUCUCUUGUCACACGCCCGCGGCGCGGACCGACGCCUGUCGACCUUUAUUCAUCUUCUCUCGGUUGACCUCGGAUCAGGUAGGGAUACCCGCUGAACUUAAGC
This 328-nucleotide unclassified non-coding RNA is filed under the name plant metagenome. RNAcentral describes it as "partial contains 5.8S ribosomal RNA, internal transcribed spacer 2, and large subunit ribosomal RNA". The stretch from base 1 to 104 matches the Rfam family "5.8S ribosomal RNA", at positions 50 to 154 of the family's 154-position model. The record is from RNAcentral.